AUGAACGCUGGCGGCGUGCCUAAUACAUGCAAGUCGAGCGAACGGACGAGAAGCUUGCUUCUCUGAUGUUAGCGGCGGACGGGUGAGUAACACGUGGAUAACCUACCUAUAAGACUGGGAUAACUUCGGGAAACCGGAGCUAAUACCGGAUGAUAUUUUGAACCGCAUGGUUCAAAAGUGAAAGACGGUCUUGCUGUCACUUAUAGAUGGAUCCGCGCUGCAUUAGCUAGUUGGUAAGGUAACGGCUUACCAAGGCAACGAUGCAUAGCCGACCUGAGAGGGUGAUCGGCCACACUGGAACUGAGACACGGUCCAGACUCCUACGGGAGGCAGCAGUAGGGAAUCUUCCGCAAUGGGCGAAAGCCUGACGGAGCAACGCCGCGUGAGUGAUGAAGGUCUUCGGAUCGUAAAACUCUGUUAUUAGGGAAGAACAUAUGCGUAAGUAACUGUGCACAUCUUGACGGUACCUAAUCAGAAAGCCACGGCUAACUACGUG
RNAcentral lists this ribosomal RNA (496 nucleotides) under uncultured bacterium. RNAcentral's name for it is "partial 16S ribosomal RNA". It matches the Rfam family "Bacterial small subunit ribosomal RNA", at positions 29 to 507 of the family's 1533-position model. The record is from RNAcentral.